CAGGACAUAGUGUAAUGGAUAGCACAGCUUCGGAACAACGGUCCCCUUGGUUCCUGGGACCGGAGGCAGACCGAGGUUCGAUUCCUCGUGUCCACA
Roridomyces roridus is the source of this 96-nucleotide non-coding RNA. The record is from the annotation of a GenBank genome assembly. NCBI's taxonomy places the organism in Eukaryota, Fungi, Basidiomycota, Agaricomycetes, Agaricales, Mycenaceae.